Molecule: non-coding RNA, 30 nt
Filed under: Cricetulus griseus (Chinese hamster)
Lineage: Eukaryota; Metazoa; Chordata; Mammalia; Rodentia; Cricetidae
Source: RNAcentral
UCCCAACACUCGGGAGGCAGAGGCAGGUGG